GAUGAACGCUGGCGGCGUGCCUAAUACAUGCAAGUCGAGCGAACAGACGAGGAGCUUGCUCCUCUGACGUUAGCGGCGGACGGGUGAGUAACACGUGGAUAACCUACCUAUAAGACUGGGAUAACUUCGGGAAACCGUAGCUAAUACCGGAUAAUAUAUUGAACCGCAUGGUUCAAUAGUUAAAGACGGUUUUGCUGUCACUUAUAGAUUGAUCCGCGCCGCAUUAGCUAGUUGGUAAGGUAACGGCUUACCAAGGCAACGAUGCGUAGCCGACCUGAGAGGGUGAUCGGCCACACUGGAACUGAGACACGGUCCAGACUCCUACGGGAGGCAGCAGUAGGGAAUCUUCCGCAAUGGGCGAAAGCUUGACGGAGCAACGCCGCGUGAGUGAUGAAGGUCUUCGGAUCGUAAAACUCUGUUAUUAGGGAAGAACAAAUGUGUAAGUAACUAUGCACGUCUUGACGGUACCUAAUCAGAAAGCCACGGCUAACUACGUG
This 497-nucleotide ribosomal RNA is filed under the name uncultured bacterium. RNAcentral's name for it is "partial 16S ribosomal RNA". It matches the Rfam family "Bacterial small subunit ribosomal RNA", at positions 28 to 507 of the family's 1533-position model. The record is from RNAcentral.